Oncorhynchus nerka (sockeye salmon) is the source of this 3110-nucleotide long non-coding RNA. RefSeq lists it as uncharacterized. NCBI's taxonomy places the organism in Eukaryota, Metazoa, Chordata, Actinopteri, Salmoniformes, Salmonidae. The record is from RefSeq and is a predicted model, not a curated record. The transcript is spliced from 2 exons.
UAGACCGCGGCCUGGGAGAGAUUUACAGUACUAUAGCAGGGAAGAAGACAGUGCAGAGAGAGAGGGGCAGUUUCCCCUGAUAGAGCUGCCCAACCCCCAAGCUGGGAUAGAGAAUAACAAACCCACGGUUCGGGUCUAUCGACCCUGGACACAGAGAGACGUAGAAAUGGCAGUAGAAGGAAUUCCACACCCAAAAACAGGAAUGGCAGGUUUUGAAAGAGAUCUCAACGGACUAGCGUCCAGUUUCAGGCUAAACACAGGGGAGGUGGAAAGAGCAGUUAGAACCAUAGUGGGAAAGGAUUGGUUUGCUGCGCACGGAGCCUGGGUGCCAACAGGGAAUAAUGGGGACAUCAUACAGUGGAGCGCCGGACUUGGGGAGCCAUUUAGAGCGAAAAUUACAGAACUAUGCCCGAACCUAACUGAACAUUACCACCGACACGCCGACUUCUCUAAGUUUUAUGCCCAGCAGGAGAACUACGGAGGGAGGUGGCACACGAGAUUCAACCAGGAGACUGGAUCUGGGUCCAAUCGCUAAAGAGAAAAAACUGGAAACAGCCUCGGUGGGAGGGACCAUUCCAAGUACUACUGGUGACUGCCUUCGCUGUGAGAUUAGCCGAAAGAGCUACCUGGGUACAUAUCACACAUUGUAAGAGGGUAAGUCACACUAGCACUGUCGGACGAUCACAGGAGUAGGAGAGGAACCGUGACCCAUAUGGAACGGGGGUCAAACUCCUUCUGAAGAUUCCCUAUACCCGACCUUUCCCCAGCUGUGAGCGUUCAUAGAAGUGAAGUGAUGGCUUGGCCUCUGGCUGUUGAUAUGUUCUCGGGGAGAGGGUGGGGCUUCACGUGAGCACUGACCAUCCUGAGCUGUUUUAUUGUGGGGGCCAUAUUCCUGAUUCACCAUGAUCACCCGGAAAGUGCCAAAGAGGAUAAUUUGACUCAUGUGCUAGAUGAGGGAAAUGGGAUGUUACCUAAGAUUCUCAGAAGGUCACUGAAACAAAAUAGUAAGGAAGUGAGGGUGGAAUUGGGCAAGGAUCUCUCAGUAGAAUUUUGUGUAGAUCAAUUGGGGUCAUUCACCCCUUGGCAGUUUAGAACCAUGGGACUCUAUGGGAAGUAUUUGUGUAAAUCACCAUAUUGAUCGUGGACAGGUCAUAGCUCACACUGAAAGGGAUGGCUACGUAAACCCAUACACUCAAUUUGGGACCAGGUGGAGUAUAGUAAGGGUUGGCGUUUUGGACUGUGUUCCUGAACAGAGGAAGUAUUGUAUAAAGGUACGAAUAGUUCAGACCAAAGACCUCAAAGAAGUUAUAGAAGUGGAGACUGGGUUUGGGGAGUCCAACUUAUGGUUGGAAUGGAUUCAAUACGGCCAGAUCAGUGGCUAAAGAAGAAUGUUAUGUCUGUGCGAACGCUAAACCCCAGUUAACAACUAUCCCUUUUCCACUGAACGGAAUUAAUUCCUCUAAGGGAAUGGCAUGUAUGGUAAAGCUGUUCAUGAAAGCAGGAAUGCCAGAUAAUGACAGUUGUCACUAUUUAUAUCCCCAGGAACCAAGUUGGUACAGAGAAAAUGACCACUGACGAGACCAUGUCUGAAUUGACAGGCUGGUUGAACUCUGGGGAUUUCAAUGAAAUAAAAUGGGCCAGUGUCGCCAUCUGGUGGGUGUGCGGGGGAAUGAGUUUGACUGAUUGGACGGGUUAGGAAUGCCUUUUACACUCAUACAACACCAAGACAUGAAGUUAGCCAAAACGAGAGAGAAGAGAUGCUCCAUCUGGGUCUUUUGACGACAGAGUAUAUAUUGAUAACAUUGGGGUUCCACGAGGUGUGUAAUUAUAGUUAUGGUAAUCAACAGCGCUUUAGCAGGAAUACCAAAGGUGUUAUUAAAGGUUUUGUAGAACAGACUGAAGCAACCAGCUGGAAGACCUGACAGAAUAGAAUUGCAUAGGAUAAAAGGAGGAAGUGGGCGUGGUAAUCAGGACCAUGUCUUACAUCCCGGGUAGCACAGCUCCGGACGAAUCGGUGCCCGAAGCCUCAGCUGGUUUGACCACCCUGGCUCACGGGUUGGCAGAAACUCUGGGGUGGAUACUUCUCUGAACUAAAUUGGGUAGACAGUAUUUAUGGAAAAUGUGGUGUUUUGGGCUGUAUCUACCUGUAUGACUGUUUUAAUUUUAUGCGGCUGUUGUCUAAUUCCCUGUGUGCGAGGCCUUGUUUCCAGGACUCUGGAAAGAUCAAUGACCCUACAGAUGGUGCGUUAUGGGCCGAUUCCAGAUUCUGACCUGUGGAGGACAGAAGGCAUGUCUACAGAGGAAGUGGACGAAUCCGGAUCUGUCAUUUGUGGGGAAUUUAUGUUUGAUGAGGCUAGUGUUGAGAUAAAGGGGAAUUAGAUUGUAAUUGGUUUCCAUGAUUAAACUGUUUUUUUAAUGAAGGUCGUGACGAAAAUCCGGGAGGAAGAGUUAUGAUUCUGAUGUAGGUUUAAAAACAGUUGGAGUUAAGGUUAGAAUUGAUUAAUAACAUGUGGAGAGUUGGAUAAACAUUUAUAAUUGAUUUGUUGAUUAUUUGUCUAUUCAUAUGAUAAUCUGAUAAACCUCUAUAAAAAGGUUAGUUAAGUUCGUUUAUUCUUUCAUUUUUUAUGAUUAAAUAAGACUAGAUGUAGAAUUGAAUGUAUAAUAUUUGAUCAAAGGGAGGAUUGUUAGAGGAAAAUAUAGUUUAGAUGAUCAAUUGUAUACAUUAAUGAUUAGAACCAUUUAUGCUAAUACUAUUAUGUUAUGAUUUGAAAAGUAUGGGUUCUUAAUUGUACUGUUACUGAAAAUGUAAGCAGAAAUGAAUUGUGUCUGUGUCUCCUGGGAAAGUUUAAGAAGGAGGGAUAAGAUAGUUUUUCAAACAGAUAAGAAUGUUUUGGUUGGAUUCCAUUAGGGGAGAUAAGUUAUCCUUUAGACAGGUUGGAAUGUAGUUUAUGAGGGGAGUGAAACUAUCUCCAGGACCGAAUACUACGCCAUUAUAAGGCUGGGAGAGGGUGUGAAACUGAUGACGUCAUUUUAUGUCUUCUUUCUUUAAAAUGUAAUGUUCUUUGUAUUUUGGGUCAGUACUCACUUGAAUUAAACGCUAUUUACCUGGC